Molecule: ribosomal RNA, 497 nt
Filed under: uncultured bacterium
Lineage: Bacteria
Description: partial 16S ribosomal RNA
Rfam family: Bacterial small subunit ribosomal RNA
Source: RNAcentral
GAUGAACGCUGGCGGCGUGCCUAAUACAUGCAAGUCGAGCGAACGGACGAGAAGCUUGCUUCUCUGAUGUUAGCGGCGGACGGGUGAUUAACACGUGGAUAACCUACCUAUAAGACUGGGAUAACUUCGGGAAACCUGAUCUAAUACCGGAUAAUAUUUUGAACCGCAUGGUUCAACAGUGAAAGACGUUCUUGCUGUCACUUAUAGAUGGAUCCGCGCUGCAUUAGCUAGUUGGUAAGGUAACGGCUUACCAAGGCAACGAUGCAUAGCUGACCUGAGAGGGUGAUCGGCCACACUGGAACUGAGACACGGUCCAGACUCCUACGGGAGGCAGCAGUAGGGAAUCUUCCGCAAUGGGCGAAAGCCUGACGGAGCAAUGCCGCGUGAGUGAUGAAGGUCUUCGGAUCGUAAAACUCUGUUAUUAGGGAAGAACAUAUGUGUAAGUAACUGUGCACAUCUUGACGGUACCUAAUCAGAAAGCCACGGCUAACUACGUG